Molecule: long non-coding RNA, 9021 nt
Filed under: Marmota monax (woodchuck)
Lineage: Eukaryota; Metazoa; Chordata; Mammalia; Rodentia; Sciuridae
Source: RNAcentral
GGGGCCCGGGGAGGGGCCGGGGCUGUUUACCAUCGGGACAGUUUCCAUCAGUCUGUGGUUGGCUGCGGCAUUCACAGCAGCUGAAUCAGCCCUGCUGGGGGAAAGCCAGUGGUCCCGUCCGCUUCUCAGGGUGCCUCGCACUCCCUGGUGCGUGUUCCCCAUCUCUGCCCAGCCAGAUUCCUGGGAGCGUCUGCAGAUGGCUGUUCUGCACCAGCCGGCCGUGCCAGAAUGUCCUGGCGUACAGCUGGGUGGCCUCUUUGCCUGCAGAAGCUCAUGUGCAACCCUGACAUCUGAGGAACGAGCAGUUUCUGCUUUAUCAGGAGGAAUCUUCCUCUCGCUCUAUCACCCUCCUGUUCCGGACGCCGCUGUCAAUCUUCCCGGCUGGGCGCCGCAGGAGCGGAUGCCUCUCUGCGUCAGGCAUCCAGGGCUCUUCCUCUGCAAAACAGGAGGGGCCUGGGUUUCCCGAACCACGAACAGAUGUCGACGUGAAGGAGGCUCCCCACCUGCCAAGCCAACGGCCGGCUUCCUUUCUCAUCCUUCAGGGCUCUGAGUAACAAGACCUUUAGAAAAGCGUGGCAUGCGCGCUGCGGUUACCACUUUCUCCCAAGACCAGCUCCAUGAACUCCGGAGCGUGAGAAAUCAGCCGGCGGUGGCGUGUUCUAAGAUGAGAGGCAGAGGUGACAGGGAACCAACGUGCACAUCGCUCUGGAGGCCUGGCUUCCUGCAACCCGCUCAGAAGGACAGUGAGGACGGGUUGGGCGCCUGUCUUGAUGGAGAAACUCUUAGAAAUUCCUCUUGCCUUUCACAGCCUGACACCUGUUCAGGUGAGGCUCGAGAUGGCAGAGCUUCAGUACGUUUUUUUUGUUGUUGUUGUUCAUAAUAUUUUUACUUCUAAUACAUAUGUCUGGCUUCAAAUCAGAUACCUUCAGCCCUCCUAGAACCAUUGCAACCUAGGAGCUUCCUGGCCCAAUCAUGCUGUGCGGAGUCAUCCGCCCUCUGAUUUUAGUUGUUCUGCAGAAAUUAGCAGUAAUCACUCUAAAUAAUAAUUGUAGAUAUAAUCUGCUGACUUCUUGUUAUGGAAAUGAAGGGUUAGCUUUCUCUUCCUGUCUCCAGGCCCACUUGUCCCUCACUUUCGAGGAGAGUUCUUGUAUUUCUUCCUAUCUUAGCUGCAAAUGUUGAUGAAAUUUACCAUUAUUUUAUUAGGUGCCACAAUAGAAGAAGAAUGCUUCCAAUUACACCAUGAUAUGAUACUUUUUUAUCAUAACAACGUUAAGAUGUGUUCUGAUUUUCAAGACCUUACAACGGGGAAAACAUGGUUUUAAAAAUAUUUAUUAUGAGUCAGGACAUCAUAUCUAAGGAAAUCACUGGGUUAGUAUUUGCAAGUAUUAACAUUGUUUUGACCGUGUAAAUAUUGUUGACAGUGAACUGUGAUUACAUUUCUCUGUACAUCUUUUGCUCUCUGGAGUUAAUAAUUGCUUUAUCUUCUUAUUUUAUGUAUAUAUAUACUUUAUACAUAUAUAUGUAUAUAUAUAUAUAUAAAAUAGUUCAUCCCUGAGCUUCCCUUUGUGUGAUGAACACACUGGUCAUCUCUCUGUGGCCUUUCGUUUCAUGUGAGGACAUCUUCCUGGAACUAUCAUCAUGCUCCAAACUCAGACAGGCUUCUCAGGCCCACUGUUGUGACCCCAGAGCUUCCUUGAACCCCCUCUUGGGAAUCUUCUUUCCUUGUAUCUUGUGUUGGAUCCUCUGUUUCUUGGAGCUUGUAUCUUCUUUCUUGGCCAGUUCUUCCUUUUGUUGGAGCAUAUCCUCCAGUGGCUUUGGGAGAAAGGGUUCAUGGCAGGUAAAUAUUUAGAGACCUUGCAAUAAUGUCUCUGCUCUCCCGUUGCACCUGAUGGCUUAUUCAGGCAUAGAACUAUACUUUGAAAAUAUAUUUUUUGUGUGUGCGUGUUAGAGUCUUCCCUGAAAUGUCUGGUGAUUGCUGCACUCAAGUAAUGUGUACAUGGGUGAAGCUUGUCAACUAGGAGUCUCACUGUGGGGUGAUUCUGCAGACACUUGAAUGUUUCACUAAGGCAUCUUUUUUUUUUUUUUUUUUUAAACAUUCCGGAAUCCUAUUCCAUUCAUACAUGAUAGCUAAGGUUUGAUGAUACAGAAAAACUUUUUUUUUUUUUUUUAGAGAGAGAGAGAGGAUUUUUUUAAUAUUUAUUUUUUAGUUUUCGGUGGACACAGCAUCUUUAUUUUUUAUUUUUAUGUGGUGCUGAGGAUCGAACCCAGCGCCUCGCGCAUGCCAGGCGAGCAUGCUACCGCUUGAGCCACAUCCCCAGCCCCUCACUAAGGCAUCUUGCUAGACCAUUCUCUGCAGUCUUUCUGGCCAGUUUCCCCAGCAGUGAAUCCUCUAAUCUUCUGCCUGUGGUGUUAAAGCCCCAUUGCCAACAUUAUGGGAGCAGAGAAGGGGGAAGGGGACUGUGGAAUCUCACAAUUCAGAGCACAUACUUUUUAAAAAAAAUUAUUUUAAUCUGUUAUGUAUGACAGCAGAACACAUUACAAUUCAUAUUACAAAUAUAGAGCACAAUUUUUCAUAUCUCUGGUGGUACACAAAGUAGAGUCACGCCACUCGUGUUCAGAGCACAGACUUUUAGUUCUCUGUUUCCAGAGUGUAUGGCAAGCAAGUUCUCAGCUGUGCCCAGUGUCCUCCAGUCCAGUCCCUCUAUGAUUCAACCUUUCCUCAUAGGUGCACACAGGGAUGAGAAGAAACAACGGGAGUCAGAGUGUUUCUGGCACAAAUGUUCAACACGUUUAUUUUCAGCACAUCUGUACCCAAGUUCUACAGAGGGCACCAGCAUCUGUUUUUUCUAAGGUUUUGUGGUAUAGCUGGUUUGCCUCUUUGGGUUCCCCUUUUGGGAGUUUAGAUUUCAGUUUUAUAUUCUGUGUUAAAUUCAUCACUUUUCAUUCACCAGCUUUUUUAUUUCCUUCUGUCGUCUCUGUUCCUGUUCUCUCUUUGUCUACAGUGGUGUGCUGGUAAACAGUCCACAAAUGACUCUUGGAUAAAGUGAGGUACCUGAUUUGCAGCAGUCUGACUGCCGAGGUAUAAAUACUUCUACUGUGACCAAUUUGAAGGCACGGAAAGAACAUCUCUGGAUAUGCAGUUGGAAAGAAAUGCAAAGUAGCACCUCAGUAUGUGAGAUUUCUACUAACCCGGGACAACUGAUGUGAGCAAUGCUGGUUAGUAACCUCUAGAGAAAACAUAGUUAUAAAAGUAUUAGAAAAUUGUAAGUUUUGAGAAUUUAUUAGCUUUGCUUUUAAUGUAUUUUAAAAAUUGUAAGCAUAUAUCAUUUUAGUUUUUUUGAUUUGUUGUGUACUGGGGAUUGAACUCGGGGUCACUCGACCACUGAGCCACAUCCCCAGCCCUAUUUUGUAUUUUAUUUAGAGACAGGGUCUCACUGAGUUGCUUAGCACCUUGCUUUUGCUGAGGCUGGCUUUGAACUCAAGAUCUUUCUGUCUCAGCCUCCUGAGAAGCUGGGAUUAUAGGUGGGCGCCACUGAGCCUGGCCUUGUUUAGUUUUUAAAAUGACUGUUUCACAUCCAGCUAGAAAAAUUCCUAAAAAAAUCUUACAAUCGGCUGGCACAAGUCAAUAUUGGCUGGGCCUAACCUACAUUGGGUUUAUGCCUUUAUAAUGAUUUUAUUGUCUUUUUAGUGUAUUAUUAAUAAACUUUUUUUUUCAAUCAACUGCCGUACAGCAUGCAAUUACUUGGCCUCCUAUUGUUAACAGAAUAGUAAUCCAGCCAAAGUUCACUUGGUCUAAUUGCAGUUCUCAAACCAUGACGAGGAACGGUGUCAAUGAUUGGGCAUGAGGUCUCACAGGUGAAGGCAGUGACUGCACCAACUCCCAAUGUGAUCUCAGUUUUGAAAAAGAACAUUUACUGUGUCUGUGUUUCUUAGCAACUCUCUGAAGUGGCGCCCAGCAGCUCCUCACUCUAAACCUGACAACCAGGAAGAGUUUAACAAAGCCAAACACCUGCAUAGAGCCUUUUAUUAGAGGAGCCCACAGCAGUUCACCAACGGUGCCUCAUUUAGUCUCGCUGUUCCUCCCAGUGGGAGGAGGAGAGGAAUCUCAUCAGCCCCAUUUUACAGAUGGUCAAGAAGAGGCCUGACAGCAGAUCAACACCAGCUCAGGCAAGAUCAACAGAGUCUUCUUGUUGCCUGAAAAUCUAGCAUGCUCUCUCUCCAUAGCAACAGAAUCUUGUGCACUAAGUUAUGUUUCCUGAGUCUAGGCAGGUGGACGAUUCAGUUUUACUAUCUGAAAUAUCAAGGAGUUCUUUCUUUGUUGGUAACAGGAUUGAACCCAUGGUUGCUUAACCACUGAGCUAAGUCCCCAGCCCUUUUUACUUUUAAUUUUGAGAGAGUCUUGAUAAGUUGCUGAGGACCUCCCUAAGUUGCUGAGGCUGGCUUUGAAAUUGUGAUCCUCCUGCCUCAGCCUCCAGAGCUGCUAGGAUUACUGGUGUGCGCUACCACGCCUGGCUUCAAGUAGUUCUUUUAAAUCCUAAAUUGGAUGAUUCUGGUUCUGACCAUUGUGAACCCUCCCACACCUUCUGUUGUGUGUGAUUUGUAGUAUUUUAUGGUAUGUUACCCAACAUCAUUUUGUCUAAAGAAGUAGGGGAUUGUUGGCAGGUACACAAAGCCAUCCUUUGGGUGCAAAUUAAGGGUCCAGGUACUAUAGUUUGGUUUCUCUGUUGAGCAAAUAGCAAAGCAUUAAUAAUGGCCAAAAUAGAAAAUAGACUUUCCAAACAUUUGCUAUGUGCCACAUGUGGAAUUUAGUAUUUAUAUGCAUCAUUGCAUUUAAAUCUUUAUAACAGAAUUGUGGCUGGUAUUAAUAUAUCCCUAUUUUGAAGAUGAUGAGAGUAAAGGUUAGACUGACAACACAGCCAGGGAGUGGGCUGGAAGCAAAACACCAUCCCAGCCCAGACCCACAUGCUUGUAGGGGCUAUUGUCAGCCCUUCUGCUCCAUCUUUUGCUAACUCAGCUGGCCUCUUGGCUAAAGGGACUAGUGUGGAGGUGAACCUGGCACCUAAGAGAGUCCUACCUCAGAACUUCCCACUGGACCUCUCAGAAGAGCCCUUUGUUCUGUGGCCACAGAGUCUGUGACUGUGACUCAGGGAGAUGGACUUCCAUGUCCAAGGCUGUGUGAAGGUCACUUUCUAUAGGAAGAGAAGACAAAAUCUACACAGAGAGAGAAAAACAGAGAUAAGGAUGGGGGUUGAGGGUGGAGAAUUCUCACAGCAUCCAAAUCUUUCCUUUAAGUUCCUGCCUCCAUUGUCCAGCUAGUUUGAAUUCAACUUUAAAAAAUUUGUUCUUUUUAGUUAUACAUGACAGUAGAGUGUAUUUUGACAUAUCAUAUAUACAUGGAAUGUACUUCCCAUUCUUGUGGUUGUGCAUGCGGAGUCCCUCUGGUCGUGUAUUCAUAUGUGCACACAGGAGAGCUAUGUCUGAUUCAUCCCACUGUCUUUCCUAUUCCCAUUCAACCUCUCUUCCCUUCAUUCCCUUUUGUCUAAUCCAAAGUACUCCAAUUCUCCCUCCCCACUUAUUGUGUGUUAGCAUUCACAUACCAGAGAGAACAUUCAGCCUUUGGUUUUUUGGGAUUGGCUUAUUUCACUUAGAAAGAUAGUCUCCAGUUCCAUCCAUUUACUAGCAAAUGGCAUAAUUUCAUUCUUCUUUAUGGCUGAGUAAUAUUCCAUUGUAUAGACGUGCCACUUGAAUUCAGCUUUUGUCACUUGGCCACUGGGAGAGUCCCAACCAAUACAGAAUUUACACACCUGCUAUGCUGCUGCUGGUACCACAUUUACCAGGACAGGAGAGCCACCACUGGGUCUCCUGGAUUCACUCCAACCUGUCUCUCUGAAAUCUGUAAGCAGGUCAACUAUGCACACACUACACCCCUUUCUUCCCCUCUAAAUACAUUCUGUAUCUCCUCUGGAAGAUUUUUCUUCCUGUCUUGUUACCCGAUCCAAGCCUCCUAAUGCAGAUGUGGUUCGUAGUGAUAAGAAGACACCUGAGUUGAGAUGCAUUAUUAGGUCUUCUGAUGCCAAGAGGCACAGAAUUGAACAAUAGGAGGACAGUCGCGACCUCAGCUGUGGGUCCCCUUACUGUACAGUUCCAUUGGCCAAUUUUUUUGGAGGGGUCAUGGGGCAGAAGCGGGGAUGGGGACAUCAUGGCAUUGCCAGUUUCAUUUUGGCAAACAGGGCUAGUAGGCUUAAAGUUACCCUUGCCUCACUCUUCAUGCAUUUACUUAACAAGUCUAAUAAAUAGUCUUCUGUAAACCCUGGGGUUAUAAAGCAAUCUUAUAGUCCAAUCCUUAGAAGAGUAUAAAAGGUCACAUUGAUUCUUCCUUUCAUUGUAAUUGAUACCUUAGAUUACCUUCUAGAAUGUAGGGGGCAGUGUGUGGAAGUGGGAACUACCUUGCUAGUGAUACUUUUCAAAAUGAAUUACAAGCUAGAAAGGGCCAAGGGAGGAGAGGAGGUGGCCCUGGCAGUAGAACUUAAUAUAGUGUGGCCUUGGGGCAGGUGUAGGGACCCAGAGUAGGCAAAAGGUCCAGCCUUCCCUGCAGGGGCCAGCAGGCCAGGUGCUGAGGAGGGCAUGGGGCUCUGUGGAACCAAGGGCCUGGGGUUGCUGUGUUCUGACGUGCUUUGGAACCAAGUAGACGAGCCACUCUGAGGCUUUAAACUCUUUGAUGACAGGCUGUGAGGGAUUGUGGUUCCCUUCACCUCUCUGCUUAACUGACUAGCAAAUUGCCUUUGGGAAAAGUUGUGCCUUUAGGACAAUAGCCAGAGCAAGUGGAGCACAUUAACCAGAGUGGCUGUAACAUCGCACACUGGGCUAGACACAGAGAAGGAGCCUCUUUGGUAUCCACAGUACUUGCACUUAAGCAAUAUAAAUUUUUAAGAAUCUCUUCUUUCUUGCUUACUUUCUCCCUUUCUUUUCUUUUCGUGGUGCUGGGGACAGAACCCAGGGGCCUCUUGCAUGCUAGGUAUGUACUCUACCACUGAGCUACACCCCAGCCCCAAUUUACAAGAAUCUGAAAACUGCUGGCUAGGUGGUCUGAAAAGUCUCCAGUAAGCAAAGCAUAAUGAAUGGAAAUGGAGUGUACAGGACCCGUUACCUUUAACUUACCGUGUCAUUGUUGGUCUCUUCACUAACUGUUGUUUUAUUUAAAUGAUAACAAAAAUGGCUCAUCAGAGCGUUUGUGGAUUCAGUGCUUUCUCUUGCAAUCAUGUUGUCCUAACUUUCUAUCUUUAAGAUGACUUUUAGCUCCUGAGGCCCCAGGUUUCCUGCAGAGGUGAUGGUGAUGGGUGUUCCAGCCAGGUGGUCAGGCCUUUGGUGGUCAAAGUGGUCAGCAGCCUCCAAGCUGGUCCUGGACCCUCCAUGCCUCCCAGGGAGCACCCCUUUUUGCAGUACCUGCCCGUAACAGGACAGGGGUAGUUGGGGCAACCAGUACAGCGAAACCAGAGUGAAGUUCAUUUACAAGAUUAAGUCUUAAAAGACACUGCAGGUCUCAUAGUCAGUGCUUUCUCUUGGAUCUCUCAUUCAGGAUGCCAGCUGUCACAUCACAAGGACAGGCAGACUGUGAAUGGAGAGGCCAUGAGGUAAGGAACUAAGACCUGUAGCCAGACAGUGAGGGCCUAAGCCCACCAAUAACCAUGCAGGUGCACUUGAGGGUGGAGUCAACCUCAUGAGAGACCCUGAGUCAGGACCACUGAGCUAAAUCACUCCCAGACUUCUGGCCCUCGGAAACUGUGAGACACCAUGCAGGUGUGCUGUUGUAACCUACUGUACUGGGGGAAAUUUGUUACACAGCAACAAAAAUGAUUACAGAAAGGAGAGUUGGUAUUUCUUCCCUACUAGCCUUCCUCUCUCAAGAGGAGGCCCCCAUGACUUCUAUGGAGGGAGCUGUGCAUGUCCACUAUUAGAGGGGUUGGGGCAUACUCUCUUCCUUUGCUAGGCUGGAGGUACCACAUUUUGAAUUAAAUUUAGAAAGUGAUUUCCCUUAUGCUCUUUGCUACACUCUGAUGACCCCUUUUAUUUGGAGGUGUGGAUGAAGGAGCACACAUGGAAUCUAGAAGAUGAUAGACAGCCAUUCUUCUUGUCCCCAUUUCAUUUUGGUGGAGUAAGGGAAACAUCUUUUUUUUUGUGCACACAAAAGUUUUAGAAACUGGUCUCAAAUAAGAAAAAAAAAAACUUCAAUUAUUUGUUUCUUAUUAUAAAAGCAGUAAUACAAGUAGAGAAAAAAAUUUAAAAAGCAAAACCAUUAAACACCAAUAAUGACAUCAUCCAGAUGUAAAUACUGUUAACAAUUAGAGUAUAUCCUCAACCACUUGUACCUAUGUAUACAGUUAUCUUUUGCUAUCCAUGGGGGAUUGGGUCUAGGAUCCCUGAAGAUACCAAAGUCUGAGGAUGCUCGAGUUUCUUAUGUAAGAAGUAAAGUAUCUGCAUAUAAUAAAUGCACAUCCCACUGACACUUUCAAUUAUCUCUAGAUUGCUUAUGAUAUCUAAUAUAAUAUAAAUAUUAUGUAAAUAGUUAUGCCACAUUGUUUAGGGAAUCAUGACUGGAAAAAGAUGGUACAUAUUGUACAGACACAAUUUUUCUAUGAAAAUAUCUUUGAUCCAUGGUUGGUUUAAUCUGUGGAUGCAGAACUCUCAGGUAUGCAAGGCUGAUUAUAUAUUUUACACAAGUAGAUAACAUAAGUACAAUUUUGUGACUUUGUUUUUCAUUAGAUAUAUAAACUUGUGUUUAGGUUGUUAUGGUAUCAUGUCAUUUAUCGUUAUAUUUUUAAAUGGCUGCAUAGUAUUCUAUCAUAUUGUAUCAUAUGUAUUCUAUCAUUCAGAUGUGUUAUCAUUUAUCAUACCAAUUCCCUUCUAUUGGUUAUAAAUUUAUUUCUAAUUUUGCUAUUUUAAGUUAAGCUGUAAAGAAUAUGCUUGUAGCUAAAUGUUUGUACCUACCUUGGCUACCUCCUUUAGAAUAGUAAUAAAAAGAAA